CUGAGUAGCGUGUUCAAGACCCGAAGCGGAGUGAUCUAGCCAUGGGCAGGGUGAAGCGGAGGUAAGACUUCGUGGAGGCCCGAACCCACCAGGGUUGAAAACCUGGGGGAUGACCUGUGGUUAGGGGUGAAAGGCCAAUCAAACUCCGUGAUAGCUGGUUCUCCCCGAAAUGCAUUUAGGUGCAGCGUCGUGUGUUUCUUGCCGGAGGUAGAGCACUGGAUAGGCGAUGGGCCCUACCGGGUUACUGACCUUAGCCAAACUCCGAAUGCCGGUAAGUGAGAGCGCGGCAGUGAGACUGUGGGGGAUAAGCUCCAUGGUCGAGAGGGAAACAGCCCAGAGCAUCGACUAAGGCCCCUAAGCGUGUGCUAAGUGGGAAAGGAUGUGGAGUCGCAGAGACAACCAGGAGGUUGGCUUAGAAGCAGCCAUCCUUGAAAGAGUGCGUAAUAGCUCACUGGUCAAGUGAUUCCGCGCCGACAAUGUAGCGGGGCUCAAGCACACCGCCGAAGUCGUGUCACUCACACAACAGGUCCAACGACCGUGUGGGUGGGUAGGGGAGCGUCGUGUGCCGGGUGAAGCAGCCGUGGAAGCGAGUUGUGGACGGUAUGCGAGUGAGAAUGCAGGCAUGAGUAGCGAUACGUACGUGAGAAACGUGCGCGCCGAUUGACUAAGGGUUCCUGGGUCAAGCUGAUCUGCCCAGGGUAAGUCGGGACCUAAGGCGAGGCCGACAGGCGUAGUCGAUGGAUAACCGGUUGAUAUUCCGGUACCCGCUGUGAAGCGACCCACAUCGAAUCCAGUGAUGCUAAGCCCGUGAAGCCGCCGGCGGAUUCUUCGGAUGAAGUCGGAGUGGUGGAGCCGGUGGCCCGAGCUGGUAGUAGGUGAGUGAUGGGGUGACGCAGGAAGGUAGUCCAUCCCGGGCGGUGGUUGUCCCGGGGUAAGGGUGUAGGACGUCAGGUAGGUAAAUCCGCCUGGCAUGUGUCUGAGACCUGAUGCCGAGCCGAUUGUGGUGAAGUGGAUGAUCCUAUGCUGUCGAGAAAAGCCUCUAGCGAUGUUUCAUGGCGGCCCGUACCCUAAACCGACUCAGGUGGUCUGGUAGAGAAUACCGAGGCGUUCGGGUGAACUAUGGUUAAGGAACUCGGCAAAAUGCCCCCGUAACUUCGGGAGAAGGGGGGCCACGCCUGGUGAUGGGAUUUACUCCUUGAGCUGGGGGUGGCCGCAGAGACCAGCGAGAAGCGACUGUUUACUAAAAACACAGGUCCGUGCGAAGCCGUAAGGCGAUGUAUACGGACUGACGCCUGCCCGGUGCUGGAACGUUAAGGGGACCGGUUAGUCAUUCUUCGGGAUGGCGAAGCUGAGAACUUAAGCGCCAGUAAACGGCGGUGGUAACUAUAACCAUCCUAAGGUAGCGAAAUUCCUUGUCGGGUAAGUUCCGACCUGCACGAAUGGCGUAACGACUUCUUGACUGUCUCAACCAUAGGCCCGGUGAAAUUGCACUACGAGUAAAGAUGCUCGUUUCGCGCAGCAGGACGGAAAGACCCCGGGACCUUUACUAUAGCUUGAUAUUGGUGUUCGGUUCGGCUUGUGUAGGAUAGGUGGGAGACUGUGAUACUCAAGCGCCAGCUUGGGUGGAGUCGUUGUUGAAAUACCACUCUGGUCGUGCUGGAUGUCUAACCUGGGUCCGUGAUCCGGAUCAGGGACAGUGUCUGGUGGGUAGUUUAACUGGGGCGGUUGCCUCCUAAAGAGUAACGGAGGCGCCCAAAGGUUCCCUCAGCCUGGUUGGUCAUCAGGUGGUGAGUGUAAGUGCACAAGGGAGCUUGACUGUGAGACUGACGGGUCGAGCAGGGACGAAAGUCGGGACUAGUGAUCCGGCGGUGGCUUGUGGAAGCGCCGUCGCUCAACGGAUAAAAGGUACCCCGGGGAUAACAGGCUGAUCUUCCCCAAGAGUCCAUAUCGACGGGAUGGUUUGGCACCUCGAUGUCGGCUCGUCGCAUCCUGGGGCUGGAGUCGGUCCCAAGGGUUGGGCUGUUCGCCCAUUAAAGCGGUACGCGAGCUGGGUUUAGAACGUCGUGAGACAGUUCGGUCCCUAUCCGCUGUGCGCGUAGGAGUCUUGAGAAGGGCUGUCCCUAGUACGAGAGGACCGGGACGGACGGACCUCUGGUGUGCCAGUUGUUCUGCCAAGGGCAUGGCUGGUUGGCUACGUUCGGGAGGGAUAACCGCUGAAAGCAUCUAAGCGGGAAGCCUGCUUCGAGAUGAGGACUCCCACCCCCGUUGAGGGGUUAAGGCUCCCGGUAGACGACCGGGUUGAUAGGCCGGAUCUGGAAGCCCAGUAAUGGGUGGAGGUGACCGGUACUAAUAGGCCGAGGGCUUGUCCAU
RNAcentral lists this ribosomal RNA (2370 nucleotides) under Streptomyces hazeniae. RNAcentral describes it as "Streptomyces sp. DSM 42041 partial 23S ribosomal RNA". It matches the Rfam family "Bacterial large subunit ribosomal RNA", at positions 695 to 2925 of the family's 2925-position model. Lineage: Bacteria; Bacillati; Actinomycetota; Actinomycetes; Kitasatosporales; Streptomycetaceae. The record is from RNAcentral.